RNAcentral lists this ribosomal RNA (876 nucleotides) under uncultured bacterium. Its description in RNAcentral is "bacterial SSU rRNA". It matches the Rfam family "Bacterial small subunit ribosomal RNA", at positions 28 to 897 of the family's 1533-position model. The record is from RNAcentral.
AAUGAACGCUGGCGGCGUGCCUAACACAUGCAAGUCGGAUGUGCCGCAAGGUGCAUGGCAGACGGGUGAGUAACGCGUGGGGAAUCUACCUUUUUGUGGGGAAUAACGCUCCGAAAGGAGUGGUAAUACCGCAUGAGACCAGUGGCUGGGAUGCUGCUGGUGAAACCUGGGGACCGCAAGGCCUGGGGCAAAGAGAGGAUCCUGCGUCUGAUUAGCUAGUUGGCGGGGUAAUGGCCCACCAAGGCGACGAUCAGUAGCCGGCCUGAGAGGGUGAUCGGCCACACUGGAACUGAGACACGGUCCAGACUCCUACGGGAGGCAGCAGUGGGGAAUUUUGCGCAAUGGACGAGAGUCUGACGCAGCAACGCCGCGUGGGUGAUGAAGGUCUUCGGACUGUAAAACCCUGUCGUCAGGGACGAAGGUGGCAGUGUUAAUAGCGCUGUUACUUGACGGUACCUGGAGAGGAAGCCCCGGCUAACUCUGUGCCAGCAGCCGCGGUAAUACAGAGGGGGCAAGCGUUAUUCGGAAUUAUUGGGCGUAAAGGGCGCGUGGGCGGUUUUUUAAGUCAGAUGUGUAAUCCCCGAGCUCAACUUGGGAACUGCAUCUGAGACUGGAAGGCUAGAGUACUGGAGAGGGUGGUGGAAUUCCUCGUGUAGCGGUGAAAUGCGUAGAGAUGAGGAGGAACACCAGUGGCGAAGGCGGCCACCUGGACAGUAACUGACGCUGAGGCGCGAAAGUGUGGGUAGCAAACAGGAUUAGAUACCCUGGUAGUCCACGCUGUAAACGAUGAACACUUGGUGUGGAGGGAGUUGACCCCUUCCGUGCCGGAGCUAACGCGUUAAGUGUUCCGCCUGGGGAGUACGGUCGCAAGGCUGA